GCGCUGCCGAGGAGUCCCACAAUAGGACGAAACGGCCGUCCAGUGC
Molecule: non-coding RNA, 46 nt
Organism: Schistosoma mansoni
Lineage: Eukaryota; Metazoa; Platyhelminthes; Trematoda; Strigeidida; Schistosomatidae
Source: Rfam